Molecule: ribosomal RNA, 247 nt
Filed under: uncultured bacterium
Lineage: Bacteria
Description: partial small subunit ribosomal RNA
Rfam family: Bacterial small subunit ribosomal RNA
Source: RNAcentral
AGAAUCAACGCUGGCGGCGUGCCUAACACAUGCAAGUCGAACGAGAAAGUGGUAGCAAUACCAUGAGUACAGUGGCGCACGGGUGAGUAACACGUGACUAACCUACCCUGGAGUGGGGGAUAACUGAGGGAAACCUUAGCUAAUACCGCAUAAUACCUACGGGUCAAAGGAGCAAUUCGCUUCAGGAGGGGGUCGCGGCCGAUUAGUUAGUUGGCGGGGUAAUGGCCCACCAAGACAGUGAUCGGUA